CCACUUCUCGUCAAACUGAGUAUAGAAGUUGAAGGACCUAAAGUAUAUGACAUGGUCCACUUCUCACUCCAACUUCCACCGCGUGUUAUCUUAAACUCUCUUUCUGACAAGUGAAUGAAACCAUCUCUUCCCAACUGAUGAUGAAAAGGUUCAUCCUCCCCCACCCCAACAUCAUUGAGAAGACCAACUGUGCGAAUACUGUUUCCCAUCUAAAGGCAAGAAAUUAAGAAUGGAAUUAAAGGAGUAUAUCUGUGGGAUGAUGAAGUUGGAGAGAUGAUGGUAUAUAAAUAUGUAGGGUUAGUGUAUGGGAUAGAGUAUGAGGAAGUGAGUUCCCAGUUAAUGAAUGUGGGUAGUGAGGUAGGUUUUCUCUGCUAUGCUUGGUUGGGAUGUUAAUGGGGAUAUUUAUUAACUCUUUAGUGUGUAGAGUAUAGAAUCUUUCCACCUUAUAUGCAAACCAAGCUUUGUUCUAACGCUCAAUAAUUCAAUUUCACAGCAUCUAAUUCCCUAUCAUGUGUUUCUAUCGCACUUCCAUCUUUAUCUUCUUCACUCAUUAUGCUCAAUUUUACUUUGUUCGAUUCUUUAACUUUAUUAUUUUAACAUAUGGGUAGAUAAUUUUGAUUCUGGCUUUUAUCUUGUACAAUGUUCCAGGUACUAUGUAAACGCCGCUUGGGAAGCGUUUGGGUUGUUUUUCAGCAAAUAGCAAUGAAAUUAAAUGGGACGUCCAAUCCUUAUACAGUAAAAUGAUGAUGUUCACAUAGUACCUUUCCAACUACAUAUGAGCCAACAAGACCUCCUACUAAUCAUUGGCGAGAUUUGGAAUAGUUACAAUUUUUAAGGGCGGAACGAAUAUCAUUCUGAGAUAUUUUCUUUAACUCGAUUAAAGGUUUUGUAUUAGAAGGGUAUAUGGAUGGUAGUUGUGAGGGUUAUCAGGGAACAAAGGAACUCAGUCAUCUUUAAGCAAGGGAAAUCGGAUGCAGAAGAUAUUUUUCUUUUAACACAACUGACAGCUUCGUUUUGGUUGAAACACAGGGUACAGUCAUUCAUAUACUCGUUCUCAGAUUGGCAUCUGAAUCCGGAUUAAUAUAUUAAAAGCUAUAAAUAACUUAGUAUGGUUGUAACAUGCUGGAAUUGGGCUCAUGGGGGGCUGCCGGUAUUGAAUCCCUGUCCAGGUUCUUGGUUUAAAUAGUCGUCCACACUCUCAAGAUGCAGGACUUUCUGGUGCACUAUUCAGGGGAUUUGCUUUGGACGUCUUCCUGUACAAUUCUUUGCAUUUAGAAGUGCAUGUAAUCUGUGUUUUCUGAUGCUUUUAAGCAGGUUUUCACGCCAAGUCUGUUCUGUUUUUGGAGCUUUCUUCAAUGGAUGCUGGUUCGUCUUUUUCCUGGUCUUUGGUGCUUUUUUCUCAUAGCUGUAGCAGGCUUACAUCAUUCUCAGGAUGCCAUCUACUGUUCCUUGUGACUUUGUAAUUUGCUUGUGCUGCUGGUUUUUCUUUCUGUUAUAGGCUGUUUUGCAUAUUAAUAUCUCUUUUCAGCAGUACCCUGUAGCAGUUUUUGUAUCCCUUCCUCUAUGGGGGGUAUAGGGUGUUGUCAUAUUGGAUCUAGGCAUGCCUUGGUUGUUAAAAUUGAAGUUUUAAGACUCCAACAGCCUGUCUUUUGUGUUCUGAUGCAGGAGGAAUGUGUUUUCUGUUUUAUUGGAAAACUUGGAAGACUCAUUAUGAUGCAAAGGUUUUUGCAGCUUUGGAGGGAAUGGCAAGAAUUGGUCAAUCUGUGUUUUGCUGUUGUUGGUGUUUUAGUUUAAAGAAGUUGUUGUUUUGAGAAUAUGUUCUUCUUGGCUUACCACCUAAAAUAGAUUGUUUUGUAAACGGAUUGACAUAUUUCUCAAGUAUUUUUUUUUAAUUAAUUAAUUUUUUGUUGAUAAAAAAAGAGUUUUUUUAUUAGAUUACUUCUUAUUUUUUUAUCUUGUUUUUUUUAUUGGUAUCUUGAUCCGUUAACGUGUUUGAUGUCGAUUUAAAGUUUAUGUUAGUUUUUUUUUUUUUGUGUUUGAAGGUUUGGUGGUAUUAUGUUUAAGUGUUUUUGUUGAUUUUGUGUUGGAUGGUUCUUGCAAGGUUAUUAGAUCUUUCUUUAAAGUAGUGAAUUGGUAUAUAUCUAUACCGAUUGAAUCAUUUCUUAAAUGAUUAUUUAUUUAUUUUUUCCAAUAAAAAUAAAUAUUGGAACACUUUGUAAUAUUGUUUGAGUUUCUUGGGCUACACAGGAGUGUGACGAAGUAAAAGUAACUAUUGUGAAUGUUUAUAGCUCAGGUUCUUUAAAGGAAAAAAAACGAGUUGGGAUGAGAUUAAUGCUCAUAGAGCGUGUCAGUUAAACAGGAUCUGGUGUGUAGUAGGGGACUUCAACUCAAUCAGAACAAAGGAGGAGAGGAAAAGUUUGACUAUGGGCUUGAAUUAUAAUAGAGAAAUGCGGGAUUUUAAUGAGUUUAUUGGAAAGGCUGAAUUAAUGGACAUUCCGAUGGUUGGUCAAAAAUUCACUUGGUAUAAACCGAAUGGUACUGCUAAAAAUAGAAUUGAUAGAGUCCUUGUCUCUAAGGAAUGGAUGGAGGAGUGGCCGAACAGUAAGCAGUUCGUACUUAGUAGAUCAGUUUCAGAUCACUGUGCUUUGGUAAUUAAAGAUUCCUGUCCAGAUUGGGGUCCGAAACCUUUUCGCAGUCUGGAUGUCUGGCAAAAAGACAACAAGUUCAGGGAGUUUGUUCGAAGUAAAUGGCUUAGUUAUGAAGUUUCCAGUAGGGAUUUGUUUGUGUUCAAAGAAAAAUUGAAGAAGCUAAAAUCCGAUUUAAAAGUAUGGAACAGAGACGUGUUCAGAGAUGUUAAUCUGAAAGGGGAGAUUUUAAAAAAGAAAAUUGAGGAUUUUGAUGCUCGAGCUAAAUCCAAACAAACCAACCUAUUUUGCACUAAAAAACAAAUGACGACAAGAUUCAUCUUCCACCCCACACAAACUACACAAAAGACUUUCGAUCAAAAUCCAUCUCCUUUUCAAAUUGGCUUUAGUAGCAAUCUUAUUUACCAACACCCUGUAAGCUUAAUAAAAAGUUAAUUUGGUAUUUUAGAGUGUUUAACCGUUAGAUUUAUCACAAAUCUCUCAUUUUGUAUGAAUCAAUUUCUUUAAGUUUGUAGUACAAGUAAGAAUUUACAUUCCCAAAAUAUAUGCAAAUCUCUUAGAAAAUAUACUUUGACUUUCCUUUUUACUACUUAUUAUUUGGUACAAUUACCAAAUAGUUAUAGCAUCAUUAUAGUUUUUUUUUCUAUCCGAAAAAAUCAAUUGGGACACUUUAAGAAUGUUCCAAAGCUCAACUUUAAAGAUACAAACCAAAAUCAACAAAAUAACAUCAUUAGAGUUUUUUUUUAAUCAGUAAAAUAUUAAUUAAAUUAAAGAAAAUCAUUUUAUUGGUGUCUCAAUCCGUAUACAAAACCUAAAUCUGUACCAGAUAAAUGCUUCAGAUAACUCCUACAUUCCUAACAGCAAAGCCCAAACCAGCCUAGCCUAGCUUUGAGCAAUAUCAGACCAAUAGCUGAUCCAAAUUUCCCUUACAGAAGGCAAAAACAAAAAACCAGCAACCAAACUUGUAAUUGCUCCAAACUUGCAAAUGAUCCUGCAUAAAACCAGCAAUCUCCCAGACUCCAACAGAAAAAACAACAUCAUUAGAGUGAUCACCAGGAAGUCAGUAGUGAUGCGGUGUUUGGAGAGAAUAAGGUGAUUAGGAUGGUUGAGGAAGGGAGUGAAGAAUGGUGGCAGGCAUGGAAAUGAUACUUAUUGGACAUAAACUAUUCUUGCUUUUGUAUGCCUUAAGAGAAGCUUCUACAAAUCUGAUGAGGUGCACAAUCAUGUAGCAAUGAAGAGGAAGGGAUGCCAAAUUACUCUCAAUUGCUAAAUUUUCUGAGAAAGGAUAGCGUGCUUGGUGAUUGGAGGUGGAACAAAGUCUGAGAAAGCUACAGCAUUUGACAAAUGAUAGUAUGCAGCUUGGUGCCAUAAGUUUUGCUACUGAGUGAUGCAGUACAGUACAACAAACUUUGGUGCUCAAGGUUCUUUGUAGUUGAUCUUUCUAUUGAGGAAACCAAAGCUCGAUUCGAGUAAUUAGGCUUUGGUUUUGCUUUUGGUAAAAGGGUUUAAGUGUACCAAUAAAAAAUAAUAUUAGAGUGAUCACCAACAAUAAUGAAAAUAAAUGUCGUAGUAAAAAAUCAAGCAUAAUAAAUAUAAAUAUCUAUAAAAAAAAUAUUAAAUAUUUAAAAUUUUCAAUCAUGAUAACUAUUUAAUAAAUUAAAAUUCGAGAAAAUCAAGAUUUUAAGUAAAAUCUUAUAUUAAAAUUUAUUCAUUUAUAUGACUAAGGAUCUUCCACACAGUUAUCUUAGAUACAUGAUACUUGUUAUAUGAGAGAGCCACAGAGAUAACAUAUUCUCUUCUCACAUAAAAAUUAUAAACUCUCUUUAAUGAUAAAAAAAGAUCCAUACUUCAAAUAUCAACUCGAAGUUUUCCAGAAUUGGAAUCUAAAAAGGUAAAAAUAUAAAUUUUCUAUGUAAUUAGCAUUACAGUUGCCAUGGAAAAAUCCAGAAUUUCUUAAAUUUCUCUGGCAGCCACCGUGACGACGUGCACUGUCGCUGUCAUCACUGUGAGUGCUACGUUGAUUCUGGGCAUUUGCGCAGUGUGGGCAUAGAGUAGGCUUCCAAAUCUUGGUUUUCAUGGUUUCCUGAAACAAGUAACGUAAUCCAAGAGCAGGGUGUUGCUCAGGCCCCUCCACCGUUACAUCCAAAUUUCCUUUGGUUGCUCGAAUCUUUACUACUACAGAAAGACCAAAAUCUGUUUCAGUUCUAGAACCAUCAAUAAUAGCAAAAUAGUGCGCCAGAGUCACUGCAUAAGGUCCUUCUUCCUUAUUCCUUUUCUUCAUUUCCAGAACUACAAGACUCCUUGUGUCUUCAGUCCUAAACAAACAAAAACAUGUCUCCGUGACGCUGCCUCCAGCACGAGUCUGCGUGCUUCGCUCAAUCGUUUUUGAUGUACCCCUUCCGCUGGCUUCGGCUACCCAGCGGGGAUUUACCAGAACAUCUGAUUCAGUAACUGUUUCCACCUCCAAGUCAUAACCAUAAUACGAGUCUGAUGUUGCACUGAAGAAUGGUAUGUGUAAACGCGUGGCACCUUCAUCUUUACCACUUCUCGUCAAACUGAGUAUAGAAGUUGAAAGACCUACAUUAUAUGACAUGGUCCACUUCUCACUCCAAAUUCCACUGCGUGUUACGCUAAACUCUUUUUCUGACAAGUUAAUGAAACCUCUUCCCAACUGAUAAUGGAAAGGUUCCUUCUGGCCAGCCUCAACAGUUCUGAGAAGACCAACUGUGCGAAUACUGUUUCCCAUCUAAAGGCAACAAAUUAAGAACACAAGAGAGUGUGUGUGGGAUGAUGAGUUUGGAGAGAUGAUGAUGUAGGGUUAGGUAGGUUUUGUGUGCUAUAUAUGCUUGGUUAAGGUGUUAAUGGGGGAUACUUAUUAACUCUUUAGUGUUGUUGAGUAGCAGUAUAUAGAAUCACGUUAUCUGCAAAAGGUUGCGUUAUUCUUCCGCAUGCUAAUUCAAUUUCACAGCAUCUAAUUCUGUGUUUCUAUCGCACUACGACCUGCAACUUCUUCCCUCAUUAUGUUGCUCUCUUUCAAUUUCUUCCAUUCUUUAACUCCAUCUUUUCAUUAAUUUUGAUUUAUUUUCUAUUAUUUUAGUGUGUAGAAUUCAGAAAAUAUGAAUUGAGAGUCAAAGGUAAAAGAUAAGACGAAUCUGUUUUAAUAAUCUGACUUUUUGUGGCUUGUUGAUUCUGAAGGGAGAACCAAGACUAAGUUGGAUAUCUCAAUCACGAAAGAGACACUAGAAGUUGGAAUUGGACACCAAUUGAAACUAAUAAUGUGUUGUGGGUAAACAGGAAGUCAAAGUUCUUUUUAAUUAAAAAAUUUAAAUUAAUUGAUUUUGGUACAUUUUAAUUAUAAGAUAGUUCAACCAUAUUUAUUAAAGUUAACUUUUUUUUUCUUGAAUUAUAAUAGCGUGUUAUUGAUUUUGUUUUUAUCAAUAAAGAAUUAAUAAAUUAAAAUAUGACACUUCAGGUUCUUCCAUUGAACUUAUUAUGUUUCGUUGGUUUCCAUGAGAUGAAGGUGGAAGACGAAGCAUUUGGUGGUGCAGUUGAUUGCUGGGUGCGCAUGGAAAGAAUAUAAAUAGAUAGAUCAUAGAUUCUUCCCACAGUUACAUGAAGGGAAGCGUUAAUCUUCAGCACAAUAAUUUAGAUUUGAAAUUUCAUAUUUUAUUUUUUUUUACAUUUUUUUUUCUUUGUACUAUAUCUUUUGGUUUAGGGUUUAUUGUUUAGGCUUUGUGUUUAAGGUUUCUAAGGCUUUAUUCAAUUUCUAAGGAUAAAAGUGCUUUGGUGUCACAUUCUAGGGUUUGGAUUAAUGACAAGUGGUCGUGGAAGUUGGAUUGGAGGCGUGCCCUAUUCGAGUGGAAAGAGGGUGAACUUACUUGCCUCUUGUUUUUGCUGGAGGAAAAAUCUAUUUCAUUAGGUUUUGUGAUCAGUGGGUUUGGAAGGUUGAUAAAUGUCUAAUUUUAGUAAUAUUUUAUAUUAAAAUAUACACACUUAUGAGGAUUUAUGAGUUUAUAGAUUUUUACAUUUUGUAUGAGUUUUAUUUGAACAAGAGUCUUUUAUUCCAAAUUUAGUGUUAAUUGCAGAUUUUUCAGGGAGGAAGAUUGAAGAUUUGGAGUAAAAGAGAAUAAUUUAUAUUGCGUCUUUUUAAUGUUUUAUCAGUUAGUCCAUUAGUGCGACACAUGAAGCGACCUAACCCUAGAAAAACAGAUUAUGAGGAUUUAUGAAUUUAUACAUUUUGUAUGAGUUUUAUUUGAAUAAGAGUCUUUUAUUCCCAAAUUUGGUGUUAAUUGCAGAUUUUUCAAGGAGGAGGAUUGAAGAUUUGGAGUAAAAGAGAAUAAUUUAUAUUGCGUCUUUUUAAUGUUUUAUCAGUUAGUCCAUUAGUGCGACACAUGAAGCGACCUAACCCUAGAAAAACAGAUUGAGAGGAAAACACCAUUGAGUGAAUUGUAACCCAAUUGGGAGAAUGAAAUGAGCUAGAAGUAUGCAUGGCUAAUUCUACCAUUUGAAAUUGAAAGUAAUUUGCUCUAACUCUUAUGUAUUGAAGUGAUAACAUAUAUAUUAAUAUUCAAUUAUUGAUUGAUUAUUGGUAUUGUUGUUUUACUUUUAAUUUUCCGUGACAAAUUGAGAAUCUUAAAUCUGACUCAGAGGUAAUUUUAGGGUUCAGACCUAAACAUCAAUACUUAACAUGACUUGAAAUGUUAAUUGUCAUUAACGUCAUUGUAAUUUGAUUUCUAAGUUGUUUUUAUAAAUAUGUGAGAGAUCGAUAUUUAGAGAACAUUCUUAAGAAUUCGAGUUCGAGAGAUCAAUAUAAAUGAAUUUUCUACGGGGGCAUAAAUUUCAAUCAAAGAACUUAAUAUUGACAUGCUAAUCAAAAUACAUGAGAGUGAGAGAGAUGAAACCUAAUCCCAAUUUUUCAACUUGAAGCAACUAAUUCUUUAUUUUGUUUUCUUAUUGAUCAUUACCAACACACUCAAUUCAACCCUCUUUUUAUUGUUCUGUUCUAUAUUUAACGAUUAUUAUACUUGAUAAUUCACUGUUCCUUGUGGGAUCGAUAUCUGUCCUUAGGAACAAUUAUUACUUUUGACAAGUGCGGUACACUUAUCAUAGAAAGUCAUUAAGUUUUUGACGCCUUACCGGAGAACAAGUAGUUUGAUUCGUUGGGUAUAGUUUCCUAAAUAUUGUGAAUAUUUUAAUUGUUUUAAUUUGUUUUUUAAUUUUGUGUUUAUAUUUGUUAAUGUUUUUAUUUGUUUUAAACAUAUUUUGUUUUUAAUUAGCUUGGAAAUCAGUGAAAUGAGAGGGGAAACACUUACUAGUGAGGAAUUAAGAGAGAAAUUCCUUAGUUUGAUUCUCAGUAAAGAAUAAAAAUUGUUUACCUUGGAAAUUGAAUAUAUUCUUAUACUGUCUUGGUUUGAAUUGAUAGGAAACACCAUAAAUUUUUGUUGAUUUAUCCUGUGCUCUUUUCAUGAAGUUGUCCUGAUAUCGAACUGCAAAUUUGAUUUCUAAGGAUUUUAGGGAGGAAUGAACUCUUAUUUUUUAGGAUUCAAUUACUUUGCUUGAGGGGAAGCAAGAUUCUAGGUUGGGGGAAAAUUGAUAAGUGCCAAUGUGUAGUAUUUAUAAUUGAGAAAAUUGAACACUUUGGAACUUAUUUGUUGCUUAAUUCAGAAAAUUACCCUAAUAUGAGAAUUAUUGAAUCCAAUUAUGUAUUUUGAACCAUGAAACAAAUGAAGAAAUUUAAUCUCAAUUUUUGUGUAAAUUUCAAAUGAAUAUGAAGCAUUAAAAGAAAGAAAGCAAAGACUUAAUUGGAUCACAAGAACGAGUAAAGAAGGAAAAUUUAAAGGAAGCAUGUUGCUCAAGCUAGAAGAUUUAGCUUAGUCCAGAUUAAAUUAAUGGUGCAAUUCUAAUCAAGCUCAGGCUAGAAUUGCUCGCCCAAGCUAAAACAACAUUGAAUGAUCUAGCUUAAGCUAGACUGGUUCGCUUAAGCNNNNNNNNNNNNNNNNNNNNNNNNNNNNNNNNNNNNNNNNNNNNNNNNNNNNNNNNNNNNNNNNNNNNNNNNNNNNNNNNNNNNNNNNNNNNNNNNNNNNNNNNNNNNNNNNNNNNNNNNNNNNNNNNNNNNNNNNNNNNNNNNNNNNNNNNNNNNNNNNNNNNNNNNNNNNNNNNNNNNNNNNNNNNNNNNNNNNNNNNNNNNNNNNNNNNNNNNNNNNNNNNNNNNNNNNNNNNNNNNNNNNNNNNNNNNNNNNNNNNNNNNNNNNNNNNNNNNNNUCGUGUUGACGAAAUCGACAAAAAGAGGGGCGAAGAAUAGAGGAUUUUGGAGAGAAGUUAGUGAGAGAAGAAGAAGAAAACUCUCUUCUUAGGAGAAGAAUUUGCUCAGAUAAGCUUUUCUUAUGCAAUCCAGAUCAAGAAUGAAGAUGGAAGAAGCUAUCAUGAAUAGUUAAGUGCUUUCAAACUUGGGAUUAAAUGUAAUCUACUAUGAUCAAAUGUAUUCUUGUGAUGUAUAUAUAUAUAUAUAUAUAUAUAUAUAUAUAAUAUUUCCUUUUCUAUUUGUUCUUAGUAUUUUCGUUUCAUGCUUAUUGCUUGAUUCUAUCCAAUCAAUAGAGUCUUGAUUUUGACCCUUAAAUUUAAGUGGAAAGUAUUUUUAGGGAUAUGAAAUAGACGAAGAUACUUGAUAACUUGUAAUGCUAGGAAUAAAUUUCAGGUUAUUAAUUGCAUCAUAAUCCUGUUCAUAAAGUUGGAUGAUUUGUUACAUAUAUGAGGAAUUAGAGUUUGAGAAAUCAUCUUAUGAAUUUCAUUAUUGAAAAAUAAAGUUGAAUGACUUUAAAUUAAGCAUCAAGAAUAACUAGUUUUGAGUAUUAUAUAUUGUAUUAUUCCAAAAUAUAGAUGACAGAGAUAGACACAAUUCAAUCCCAAAUAUUUUUAUCAAUAUUUGAUAAGUUUGUUUCGUUUCUUUUUGAAUCACAUCUUAAACAUUGAGUUAUUAUUGGUAAAAGUGUUAACUUGGUCAUGAAAAAGUGUUCAAAGUUGUUUUCUAUACUUAAUGAGUUUUAUUUCAUAACAUCUUGAUUAGAAUGUUCUAUGUGGAUUCGACAUUCGUACUUUAAAUAGUACUAUAUUACGGUUGAUUCAUUAUACUUGUUGAGAAAAAUCAACACUCAUCUUUAAAACACUCUCCACAUGUCCUUCUUUCCUAUUCCAUAGGAAAAUUUGUAAAGAAAAAAAUUAACACUUGACCCAAAACUUCUCUUCUUCACAUAGUGCCACUCUCUCUCUAUCUCCCUCUCCAUGGUUACAGUUUUCAACUAUUCUACAUAUGUAUAAAUAGUUGUUCUUAGAAGGGCAGAUGUGAAGGGAUGGGGUAAAAACAGAUGGUGGGUUUCUGAUAUAGAAUUCGUGAAAAAAAAGACAUCUAAUUAUUAAGAUAUGUUUCUACAUAAAAUCUAAAUAUUGUUCAGAUUACUUUUGGUGUCAUGAUCCUCAUGCAUACCUCAUUACCUCCCGCACUAAUCACAUAAAAGGAGGACUAUGGAUGAUAUUUUGACACCAUCAUAAACUUUACAUCAGAACCAACCAUGGGAAAUGAAUUAUCAGAACCAUUGAUCAAAUAAACUGUAGGAUAUCGUGUGCGGAAGCGUGAUAAUUUCAACCAAAGAUUAUGAGAAAUUAAAGUAACAAGUAAAGUGAGAAUGAUACCAGAAUUUUUAGGUGGAAAACCCCUUUAAAUAGAGGUAAAAAACCACCGGCGAGAGAGCCAAAACUUUCACUAUAAUGAUACUGGAAGUACAAUGAAUUCCUCUCAGGCUAAUAGAUAAAUAGCCCUAAAACAAAUCCUCUCUAUAUGGGUUAAACACUUACACCCAAGAACAGAAAGAGAGAGGAAGCAAGUAUGUGUUGCUUGUAUGUGUUGCUUGUUUGUAGUGUGUUACAUUGCUUGAAGGAAGCCACUGUAUAUAGUGGUUCUAGGAGACAACAAUAAUAAAUACAAUUAAUGGUAAUUAACCUCUCAUUGAUUGCAAUUGAUUGCGGGAAUUAAUCUCCAAUUGAUUGCAAUUGAUUGUGGCAAUUCAUCUCCCAUUGAUUGCAAUUGAUUGCGAAUAUUAAUCUGCGAUUGCAAUUGUUUGGGGGUCAUAACAAUAUGAUGGGAAAAAAAAGCAUUACCACUAAAGGGAAACUCAUCGCAGGUUUUGUCGUUGUUGAUUACGGCACAGUGUAGGCAUAAAUUAGGCUUCCAAAUCUUGACUCUCAUGACUGUUUUAAACAUGAAACGUAAUCCAGCAGAACUGUGUUCGUCAGGGCCCUCGACCGUUAUAUCCAAAUUGCCAUUGGUUGCUCCAAUCUUUACUAUUACAGAAAGACCAACUUCUCUUCUAUUUCUAGAAAUAUGAUCAAUACAGCCACUGUAAGCAAAAUAGUGUGCGAGAGUCACUGCAUGAGGUUCCUCUUUUCCAAAACAGUAAGACCUCUUAUGUCUUCUGUUCCAAACAAAUACAAAUCUGUCUCCGUAAUUCUUCCUUCAUGAAUCUGCUUGCCAUGCUCAAAAGUUGCUGGUGAACAACUUGCUACGACGUGGUUCGACGAGCGGGUACGUACCAGAGCAUCUGAAUUAGGAACUGUUUCUACGUCCAACUCAUAACCAUACCGUGAAAAUUUUCCAUUUUGUUCUGGUAUUACACUUAAGAGUUUUAUGAAUAAACCCGUGGCACCUUUACCUUUACCACUUCUCGUAAAACUUAGUAUAGAAGUUGAAGGACCUAAAGUAUAUGACAUGGUCCACUUCUCACUCCAACUUUCACCGCGUGUUAUCUUAAGCUCUCUUUCUGACAAGUGAAUGAAACCAUCUCUUCCCAACUGAUGAUGAAAAGGUACUCCGUGCCUCACCCCAGGAGCAUUGAGAAGACCAACUGUGCGAAUACUGUUUCCCAUCUAAAGGCAAGAAAUUAAGAAUGGAAUUAAAGGAGUAUAUCUGUGGGAUGAUGAAGUUGGAGAGAUGAUGGUAUAUAAAUAUGUAGGGUUAGUGUAUGGGACAGAGUAUGGAGAACUCAGUUUUUUUUUUUAUCACCAAUCAAGUAAUAUAGAAUCACUUGAUCCAACCCAUUUACCUUAGACAAAGAUAAUCUGUUAAAAAUCAUCAUAACUUAACCUCAAAACGUCUUUCACAUAAAUGCUAAAAAAUUAUCUUGUCAUAAAACAAACACAGCACAAUUAAUAAUAAUAAAGACAAACUAAAAGAUCAAUACACUAGUCAGAAAAAAACAGAAGAAUAUUUAAUAGAUAUACAAGAACAAACCUUCAAUUGAACCAUAGAGAAAAUCUUGAAAUAAUUUAUAACUCCGCCUUUAAAAAAUAAUCCUAUUACUCGGUUUCCAGUUAGUAUAUGUGGGUACCGAGGUAGGUAGGUUUUCUCUGCUAUGCUUGGUUGGGAUGUUA
Molecule: long non-coding RNA, 12065 nt
Filed under: Phaseolus vulgaris (common bean)
Lineage: Eukaryota; Viridiplantae; Streptophyta; Magnoliopsida; Fabales; Fabaceae
Description: long non-coding RNA (PVUL_LNC003711)
Source: RNAcentral